Molecule: unclassified non-coding RNA, 348 nt
Filed under: uncultured fungus
Lineage: Eukaryota; Fungi
Description: partial contains 5.8S ribosomal RNA and internal transcribed spacer 2
Rfam family: 5.8S ribosomal RNA (bases 1-133)
Source: RNAcentral
UGGUUCUGGCAUCGAUGAAGAACGCAGCGAAAUGCGAUAAGUAAUGUGAAUUGCAGAAUUCAGUGAAUCAUCGAAUCUUUGAACGCACAUUGCGCCCGCCAGCAUUCUGGCGGGCAUGCCUGUUCGAGCGUCAUUUCAACCCCUCAGGCCCUCGUGCCUGGCGUCGGGGCCCCUUCCCCCUCCCCUGCGGAGGGGGAGCCCCCAGAGACAGUGGCGGACCCGCCGCGGCUCCGAGCGCAGUAGUAAAAUUCUCGCUAGGGAGGCCCGCGGUGGAAGAAUACCUGCCGUAAAAACAGAUUUUUAAUCUCUCUCAAGGUUGACCUCGGAUCAGGUAGGAAUACCCGCUGA